UUUGUAGCUCAGCUGGAUAGAGCAACCGCCUUCUAAGCGGUAGGUCAGGGGUUCGAGUCCCUUCAAG
RNAcentral lists this transfer RNA (67 nucleotides) under human gut metagenome. It matches the Rfam family "tRNA", at positions 5 to 66 of the family's 71-position model. Rfam says of the family: Transfer RNA (tRNA) molecules are approximately 80 nucleotides in length. Their secondary structure includes four short double-helical elements and three loops (D, anti-codon, and T loops). The record is from RNAcentral.